RNAcentral lists this ribosomal RNA (370 nucleotides) under uncultured organism. RNAcentral's name for it is "bacterial SSU rRNA". It matches the Rfam family "Bacterial small subunit ribosomal RNA", at positions 526 to 896 of the family's 1533-position model. The record is from RNAcentral.
CGUAGGGUGCUAGAGUUGUCCGGAUUUACUGGGUGUAAAGGGUGCUCAGGUGGGUUUGUAAGUCAGAGGUGAAAUCCCAAAGCUUAACUUUGGAGCUGCCUUUGAUACUGCAAGCCUGGAGUUUGAGAGAGGGUAAUGGAAUAUCUGGUGUAGCAGUGAAAUGCGUAGAUAUCAGAUAGAACACCAAUGGCGAAGGCAGUUACCUGGCUCAAAACUGACGCUAAAGCACGAAAGCGUGGGGAGCAAACAGGAUUAGAUACCCUGGUAGUCCACACCCUAAACGAUGAAUACUAGAUGUUGGUCUUUUUUAAGGUCAGUAUCCAAGCUAACGCAUUAAGUAUUCCACCUGGGAAGUACAAUCGCAAGGUUG